CUGCAGGUGGCGCGGCGCUUCGGCGUGGCGCCGCAGCAGCUGGUGGCGGUGGGCGACUCGAUGCGCGACGUGCAGGCGGCGCUGGCCGCC
Molecule: transfer RNA, 90 nt
Filed under: Tepidimonas sediminis
Lineage: Bacteria; Pseudomonadati; Pseudomonadota; Betaproteobacteria; Burkholderiales
Description: tRNA-Cys
Source: RNAcentral